RNAcentral lists this long non-coding RNA (5238 nucleotides) under Homo sapiens (human). Its description in RNAcentral is "HSALNT0312186". Lineage: Eukaryota; Metazoa; Chordata; Mammalia; Primates; Hominidae. The record is from RNAcentral.
ACUUGGUAGACUGGUUUUAAGCAUGGAAGGAUUUAAAUAGAUCAAACCGGCUUCUCUGUUGAGUGAGAAUUGCAGGAAGCCUUAUUCAGAGGUAAGAGAUGCCGGUGGUUUGGGCAAGGGUGAUGUUGGAGAAAGGUGGGUGGAUUUUAGAGUAAAAUUAUCUCGUGAAUUAAAAUUAUCUAGAAAUGAUGAUGGAUUUGGUUAAGGAAUGAGGGGAAGGUAAGGAGUAAUUUCAAAGGUAAUAAUAAUAGCUAAUAUGGUGCCAGGCAUCAUUCUAAGUCUUUACAUAUAUUAGCUUUACAUAUAUUAGCUCAUUUAAUCCAUGAAGGACAAUGUAUGAUUUUCCUCACUUUAUAAAGGAGUAACUUGAGGCACAAAAAGUUUAAAUACCUUGUCCAAGGUUCCAUAGCACACAGUCUGAGUUGAGAUGUGAACACAGAGCCUGAGGUUCAAGUCCUUUUUCUAAACCAGUGAUUCUCAAAGGAGACAUUGUUGGUUGUCACAGCUGGGGCUGGAGUGCUACUGAUAUCUAGGGAUAGAGGACAGAGAUGCUGCUAAAUAUCCUACAAUGCACAAGAUAGUCCCCACGACAAGAAAUUACCCAGCCCAAAAUGUCAGUAGUGCCCAGGUUGAGAAACCCUGUUGCAAAUUGCUACAUUAUAUUAAUACUACCUACUGAGGGUAGCCGGUAGGCUUCUUAGACAACUGGUUUACCAAUACUGGGCGAAGACCAGUUUGAGGGAGACUGAGUUGCUUUCUGGACACAUCCAGUUGAGGUCCUUUAAGGCACCUAGGAAGAUAGGGCAAGUAAACUGCUGGAUGCUCGCUUGGCUUUGUAAUUCAGAGAGGUCUGGCACUGCUUGGAGUAGGUUUCUAUUCCUGGCAACUGCAUACACCAAAAUAUCUCCUGUAUUUUUAUAGUGUAUUUGUUUGUUUGUUUAUACCCCCACCCUCUUCCAGAAAGGAUGCAAAGCUGCUUAGGAGGAUAAGGAACACGCAAGAGUCUGAUGUAAGUUAAAAGUAGGACAAAGGAACACAUUCACAUAAGGGUGGAGACAUAGGAUGGAGCCAGCAAUGAGGCUAAAAGGAACCCUAAUCCCAUUCCUGGCAGCUGCAGGGCUCUUCUUACAAUCUUACUGGACUCCUUUAUCCCAGUCUCUGCUGAGAUCUCUGCCUCCUCUCCAGGAGAUGAACCCCAAUCCUCACCUCUUGGCUGCCCUGCAGCUGAGAUGAAAACUGAAUGUGCUUACUGUCUUUUAGGUUCCUGGCACCUAGUGGGAGAACAAUACAUAGUUGUAGAGAGAAACUCCAGGGAUGGGGUUGUGAACAAGACCCAAAGCCUCCCCCAUAGAGCUUCCUUUUGAAUGGGGGAGACAAACCAAAAAGGGGAGCAACCGUUGAUAUGAGCAUUCGUGCUUUGUUUUGCUUAUCAGAUAAUUUAAUAGCUAGUUCCAAGGCGUCUUUCAUGCUAUAAAGAAACAAAAAAGGACCCAAGAAAAAAUGAUGAGGAGAAGUAUGGUGGUUGGGGAAGCCUCUGUGAGAAGGUGAUAUGCAAGCUGAGACCUAGAAGAGGAGAAGGGACAGAGUUUCAUAGAGUCGGGUGAAGGCAUUCCAACCAGGAAACAGCGUGGACAGAUAGCCCUGGAUGGGAAACAACUAUGGUCUUUGAGAAACCGGGAAGAGGCCAGCAGGCCUGAAGCAGGAUGAGUGAAGAGAGAGGGUGGGAAAACAGCCAGGACCUUGCAGGCAUAGGAAAGAGUUUGGGUUUUAUUUCAAGUGCAGUAAGGAGCUAUGGAAGGACUACGUGGCAGAGAUCAACAAUUGUCCACAAGUAUCCAUUCUCCCCUUUGUCCUGAUUCAUAAAAUCCACAAGGUUGAACUGGGCAUGUGGCUGCCUGGAAUAAGAACAACUUUUCCCAGCCUCUUUUGCAGAUGUGGUCAUGUGACUUAAGCUCUGGCUGCUAGAAUCCAAGCUGGGGUGGUGUAUGCAACUUCUGAGUAGUAUCUUUGAAAGGGGGAUGUGUGUCCCCACUCCUCCUUGCUGCUAUGUGGGGUAUAGAUUAAAUGGCUGGAACCCCAGCACCAUCUCAGACUCUGAAGUGACCUUGGAAAUAAAAGCCAGGAUUGGAGAUGCCACAAUGUAGACAGAGCCUGGAUUCCUGACUCCGUUGAACUGCCAUAGUCUCAGGUAGCCAGCUGCCAGAUGCUUCUGGGAGGGAGGGAAAAGCAUCUAUCUUGCUGAAGCCACUGUUAGUGUGCAUUUUCUGUCACAGCUAAACCUAAUUCUAACUGAUAAAGGCUUUCAGGAGGAACCACAUGAUUCCGUUUAUCACAUCAGAAGCUCCCUUAGGCCCUUGUGAGGAGCAGAAGAUUGAAAGGGAGUGAGUACAGAGCAGGGAGAUAGGGGCAGAGGCUGCUGCAAUCAUCCAGGCAAAUGAAUGAACAAAUGAAUGAAUGAAUUGUAACCGGACCCAGGUUCAGUUGCUCUCUGCUUGAAAGCCAAAACUCAAGAAAUGAGACUUGGUGGGAGGAAAAACAGGUUUUUCGGGAAGCCAGCAAACGGAGAAAAUGGUAGACUACCAUCCUAAAAUGCCAUCUUAAGUCAGCACAAAUUUCAGGCUUUUUUUUAUGUUAAGGGCAGGGGAAGAAGAGGGAGUUGGGAUCAAGAUGUGACUGAUGACUGCAGACCUCUGGGUGCCAGUGAGGGCCUGAGGAGUUUGGGAACUUCUUUGUCCUUGGUCAGGUCACAAUGCUCCUGUAAAUCUUUAACAAAACACAGUUGUUUACAUACUUUCCCUUUAACCCCAGAGUUAUUUUUUAAAACUACAUAAUUGCUGUUUUUGUGUAUUAUCUAUAUGGAUCUUUAACAAAACAUGAUUGUUUACAUACUUUCCCUAUAACCCCAGAGUUGGCUUUUAAAACUACAUGAUUGCUGUUUUUGUGUAUUAUCUCAGUGCUCUAAAAUUAUCCUAGCCUACACGCGGGCAUGGGUUAAAGCCCCUUACACAAAUACGGCCAUUUCUCUGGGCCAGGAGCCAGCUGUUCCCAAAAUGGCCACGAUGCCUCAGGAGGGAGGUUGACACCCUGUGCUCUCAGAAGCAGCUCAGAGCUCAGAGGCAGACCUCUACUCAUGCAAUUCUGCCUUCUGUGCAUGCAAUGGAUUGCUGCCAUCUCCAAUCAGCCACAAUGGGAGGCCACCUGCUAGACAUGGAAGAGCCACCGGAUGGAAGAAGCCUGGGUCUCUGAAAUACUGCUUGGAGUAGACUACUCUGCCUGCAAACUAGGAGCACUGAUUUUGGACUUUUUGGGAGGGACUUCUAUGCCCUCUGCAGUUUGCCUCUUCCUCUGCUAUUUUUUCAUGUAUGUGUAUGUUUUUUGCCUGUAUUUGCAAUGCCAGCCAUCAUUUGCCAUGUCUUCUAGCGGCAACCUGCAUUUAGCCCAGAUCUGCUGUGAUUAUUCCUUUUCACAAACCACAAUGACUCUGGAAAACCUGGCUGUAAACACCAGCACUGCCACCAGCUAAGGAUCUGUGAUCAGGAGUGCCAUCUCACGGUAACAGGAAUAUGAAGUCUGAGGUUUCUGCUCUGACAAGAGGAAAUGUCUAACAGCAGAAGACAAAAGUGAAACCGGGCUGAUGCGAAUCACUGGGAAACUGGCUUUGGCACCUCCAGAGAAUGAACUGUUUCAUAGCCUAGCUGACCAUCCAUGAAAAUGGCUGCCUGGAGAGGCAGUGAUCAGCCCAUCCCUGCAGGGUGAAGAUAAGCUUGUGCAGGCCACUGGCUAACACAGUUCAUCCCAUGCCUCCUACAUACCAAGCACUGUGCCAGGCACUUUUCACGUCUGGCAUCCUCAGAAUCCUCCAAAAGGAGAGGUUCGUGGAGGAUAAUGCUGUCAGGCUUGGAAGCAGCAGUAGAGAUCACGUUGCCCAGCUCUUGGCAUCAUUGGUUCCCAAAGCUCUGAAUCCCCUGGAGAGCUUUUGUAAAAGGUCGGAUUCAGACAAUCCGGUGGAGCACUCUGAAAUUUAGAGGAAGUGGUCAAAUAGAAUUUUCUGGAAUUAUGGAAAUCUUCUAUUCUGUGCAUCUAGUAUAGUAGAAUCUAGUCACAUGUGGCUUUUGAGAACUGGAAAUAUGGCUAAUGCAACAGAGAAAGUGAAUUUUUACUUUUGAUUCAUUUAAAUAUAAAUGGUCACAUAUGACAUCACUGCCAUAUUGGACAUUGCAGUUCUGGAAGAUGGCAGAUGCAGCCCUCAGAAGAAUUAUCAGCCUGAAUGUCUGGGCGGAGCAGAGCACUACCUUCCCACUCACUCUUCCCCUCCUCUCGCCCCCUCCCCUGCCUCACUUGCAUCAGAUUAUGAUGUGAGCAAAAGCAGGAAACAGCUCUUUUGAUAGGCCUGUGAGACUUGCUGUUCGUUGGAGUAGCUAGGCUGCUCUGACUCAUACAGACCCAAAUCCUGGCAACCACUUUUAUGAAGAAAUGACAAUUCAGUCUACUACUUGUCCAUUUUACAUGCCCAAGGAAUGUGAGGGGCCUCUGCUUGGAUCUAGUUUUCAACCUAGUCUAUGGCAUUGAUUAUCCUUUUAAAAGACAAAAGAGGUGACUUCACGGGCACUUAACAUCUUGGCCAUACUGACCCCAGUUGCACGCUACGUAGGAAGUUUUAGUCCAUUUAAACUGAAGUUCCAAUUUUUUUUUUAACAACUAUUUAAAAAUUGUACAUGUCCCAUACAUGACAGAGAAAGGGUUGUCUGGUUGGAUGAUUUUUGGCUUGCAAAAAGAGAACACAAAAGAAAAGCAUACGUUUUAAUACUCAAGAGACCAAAUUUUCUGCUGAAGAGGAAAUGAACUACAUAUCCAGAAGGGUCCUACCAAGAGGCCAAACAGACUGUGUUCUCUUGGGGGAGUUCUCAGUGGUGAUGAGAACACCACUUUUUUUUUUUUUUUAGUCAUUUUCAAGGUGAGAUAUUGACUUGCUGCUGGAGCAGGACAACUGGUCUCUCUUUCAUUGCUAGCAGCAGAGUAAGGGUCUUGCAAGUUUCAGGCAGCAGCAGAGAAAGGGUCUUGCAAGUUUCAGUCCAAAGCAAGAAGAGCUAGGAUUGCACCAGCUGUCUCACCUACUCUGUGCUCACCUGUUUCUGGAUGAAGCACGGUGACAUCUGUUUUAUUGUAAAGAGAACCAACUUUGGAAUCAAAUGGAACCUGUAUUAAAAUCCUGAAUCCGUCACUAGCUUGGACAAGUCA